RNAcentral lists this transfer RNA (76 nucleotides) under Kinosternon flavescens (yellow mud turtle). Its description in RNAcentral is "tRNA-Leu". It matches the Rfam family "tRNA". From Rfam's summary of the family: Transfer RNA (tRNA) molecules are approximately 80 nucleotides in length. Lineage: Eukaryota; Metazoa; Chordata; Testudines; Kinosternidae. The record is from RNAcentral.
GUUGGAGUGGCAGAGCUAGGAAAAUGCAAAAGACUUAAACCCUUUACUCAGGGGUUCAAUUCCCCUCCCCAACUAU